UGGGGAAUAUUGCACAAUGGAGGGAACUCUGAUGCAGCGACGCCGCGUGAGUGAUGAAGGGAUUCGUUUCGUAAAACUCUGUUCUAUGGGAAGAAAAGGACUGUACCAUAGGAGAAAGCUCCGGCUAAAUACGUGCCAGCAGCCGCGGUAAUACGUAUGGAGCGAGCGUUGUCCGGAAUUAUUGGGCGUAAAGGGUGCGCAGGCGGCUUUACAAGUUGGAUGUGAAAUAUUGUGGCUCAACCACAAACGUGCAUCCAAAACUGCAAAGCUUGAGUAAAGGAGCGGUGAGUGGAAUUCCUGGUGUAGCAGUGGACUGCGUAGAUAUCAGGAGGAAUACCGGUGGCGAAGGCGGCUUACUGGACUUAAACUGACGCUCAGGCACGAAAGCGUGGGGAGCAAACAGG
RNAcentral lists this ribosomal RNA (404 nucleotides) under Fusobacteriota bacterium. RNAcentral's name for it is "Fusobacteria bacterium partial 16S ribosomal RNA". It matches the Rfam family "Bacterial small subunit ribosomal RNA", at positions 355 to 776 of the family's 1533-position model. Lineage: Bacteria; Fusobacteriati; Fusobacteriota. The record is from RNAcentral.